GACGAACCGAGCGAACGUUGUUCGGAAUCACUGGGCUUAAAGGGCGCGUAGGCGGGCAAGCAAGUCCGGGGUGAAAGCUUUCGGCUCAACCUGAAAAGGGCCUUGGAUACUGCUUGUCUGGAGGGAGGUAGGGGCCCGUGGAACUUCCGGUGGAGCGGUGAAAUGCGUUGAUAUCGGAAGGAACGCCGGUGGCGAAAGCGACGGGCUGGAUCUCUACUGACGCUGAGGCGCGAAAGCCAGGGGAGCAAACGGG
Molecule: ribosomal RNA, 253 nt
Filed under: uncultured bacterium
Lineage: Bacteria
Description: partial 16S ribosomal RNA
Rfam family: Bacterial small subunit ribosomal RNA
Source: RNAcentral